GACUUUACGUCUUCCAACUCAGAAAGCGUAUUUGGUGCUGUACGUUUUGGACCGCGGGUUUCAUAUAUAAAAACGUCAGGGGCUCUUUAAUAAAAUCACCCCGAAGGGGUAAGUUCUAAUCUGGCGCGUUGGUUUUAGAUCGAACGGCUCUGGAUCAAUCCCAGGAGGGAAGAGGGGAUGCUGGCCGGCUACAGAGCCUCCGGCGGUGGCGCCAUGGCCGGAGGGCCUUGCUCCUCGCCGGAGUUGGUUGGGAAAGUGUUCCGGUGCACCGUUUAACAAAUAAAGAGCAUGGGGACGAAGCGGAGCUUCAAGCGGACUCACCUAGCACAAAGACGAGGACGAGGAAGACCCGAGGGCAACGCGGUGCUUAGAAUGGCGGCCGGUCACGCUCCUGCGAGGUUCGGUCAGUGCGUGAGGUCGAAAGAACGCGGUACAGGGUAGGAGGAGGGGCUCAGCACCUUCGUCGACGUGUUGCGAAGCUCGGCCAAGGAUCAAACGCCUCUGGGCAGCUUUGAUUGAAGAAAAAACACGGCGGCGGCGAACUCCUACUCGGGAAGAUCCAAUCCACGACGUUUAAGGCGGCUAGGGCUUCGCAAACGUUGUGGAUGGAAAGGGAAGUGCGCGGCGAGACCACAAACCUUUAUAGGGGCUUGAUUUGGGAGUCCCUGCACCAAAUCGCGGAGAAAGCGGAUUCGAGCCCUGCUCGGGUAUGGAGUCCGUGGCGAACACGCUGGAGAAGAAGGAAAGGAAGGGGAAAGACGCUGACAUGUGGGGUCCGGCUGGCGGUGAGAGAAGAGGUGGGGCGCGGCCGUCAGAGAAAGAGAGGGGAGGAAGCGCGCCCAGCUAGCCGGCUCGGCAUGGGCCUCAGUUUGGGCCGGGGCGGGAGGAUGGCUGCGGGCUUACUGGGCCACCAGGCCGAUGGAGCUGAGGUAAGUUCUCCUUUCUUUGUUUUUUUUCUCUUUUUCUUUUCUAAUUCAUUUUCCAAAGCCUUUUCUAAAUAAAAUUUUGAAUGCAAACAAUUUCAGAACAAAAGCAAUCAGCAUAAAAUAAAAUAUGCUCCAGCAUGAAUGCACAACAACGUUUCUAAACCCUAGGAUUAAUUUUAUUUAAAUGAAAAUAUUAUUUUCCUAUGUUUCAUGAGCACAGAAAUUCAUAAUUAAAUCAUUUUAGCUCUAAUUCCCAAAAAUUAAUUUUUAGGGUGUUACAAAUCUACCCCCCUUAAAAUGAAUCUCGUCCUCGAGAUUCGGAAGAGGCACAGAUUCCAAAAGAGAAACAAGAACAAGAUAUUGAUCAUUAUUUCAACUUGACAACCUGUAUUCCAAAUGCAAGCACUUAUGUUUCAGGAUUACAACUUGUGAACAAAACUUCCAUAAGAUGUCUAUUAUUUGUAAUUGCUCACUGUCCAUCUUGACUACCAACUUUUCAAUUUAUACAACUCGAAAACAUGAUACCUCGGCAUGGAUAUGCCUCCUCAGGUAGGAGUGGACCACCUUGAUACUCAAUUCUUUUCCCUGAUGGUGCAGUUAAGAAUAUUUUCCACUGGGUAGCAUAGAUCACUGCCUUGUGUGCACAUAACCAUCCAUUGCCAAGAACCAAAGGAAUAUUGAGUGACUCUAGCACAAUGAGGUUUACAAUGAAGUUUUCCUUCUUUAUGACAAGAUUGAUAUUUGAGCAAACCUGAUCUGCCUGUAUUUCUCCCAUUGGGGUUUGAACUAACAAAGGCUUUCUCGUCGGACACUUCACCCGUUCGAUUGUCUUUACCAAGUCAGCGGAAAUAAAAGAAUGCGAAGCACUUCGGUCAAACAGAGCAAAAACUAGCACUGAGUCCACUUGAAUAUAGCCUCCCACCACUUUGGUGGCUCCUUGAAUGUUAUGCCUAUCCACAUUGUUCAGUCUUGCAUUGAUAUAAUUUCGCUGUACUUUAUUUCCAGGAGCGGGCUUCUUACGAGCUUUCCUUUUACGCUUCCGUCGUUGUGGAUUUUGAUUUGAUUCGUUGUCAACUUGCUCUUCCAUAUUAUUAUUUUGAUAACACUCAGCUUUGUCAUACUCAUAGCAUCUUUCUUCAAAAUCAAGAUGAUCAUAUUCUUCCCACCUAUCCAUGAGAGGUGUCAUAUUGUGCUCCGGAUUCAUAGGACACUACACUCCCUGUCAUCAAGUGACCAACGUCAAUAACACGGCAAGGAUAGAUGAUCAUAACCAUAGCAUAUCUUAGAAGACAAUUAUCACUCCAAGCUAGUCUUAAAAUGCAUCACUCGUGAUAUCAAGGUACUACCCCCCUUAAAAUUAGAUUGAUUGGGGACACUAGGGACUAGUUCUCCUAUCCUUUUUGGACGCCACACAUCAUAGUCUUUUACAUUCGUGGUACCGAGUCUCUUGUUCCAACAUUAUCCAAUUCUUCUCCAUGUAACCCCUUUAUUCAGGCUACCCCCCUUAAUAAAGGUCAUCUAGGGGACACAAGAAAGGUAGCUAGCAUGUUUUCCAGACAAGUUAACUAACAUUGAGAACUUAUGACAUCCCAAAGAGCUUCUGUGCAAGAGAACAAACAUGUAUCCUGAAAUUUUUCCGCGAUAUGAAAAACACCAGCAUAGAAAAAUGGACAUAACCCUUAUUCUGUUAAUCCAACCGAGUUAUAGCUUAUACCGUUAGAAAACUUAUGAAAUUCUCUACAACUUUCCUGUAGAAGACGUCCUUAGGUUCUGUAUUUAGGCCCAGGUAAAACAGCCAAACAUAAUAUCCUUCCUGAUAAUAUCUCAGCAAAGAUGCAGUAAAUUCCAGAAAUUAUACCUCGAGCUACUUAACUCAUAUGGAGAUGAUCCUUACAUUGUUGAAAAGCUUAUGAAAUCCUUUACAACUUUCGUAUACAACUUUUCCCCAGAUUCUGUCUUUAAGCUUGGCUGAGAAUAGGAAUUGCCAGAUCUAUCCAGAUUUUGAAACAGAACAGAAACAUCCAAUUGUAAAUAUCAUAUCUCAGGUUCUACUUAUCCAAAUAAGUUCCAGCUUAUACCGUUGGAAAGAAUAGAAAAUUGUCUACAACUUUUCUAUAGAAUAUUCUUCCAAAUUCUAUAGUUAUAUAUGUCUAAAAGAGUAAGCAACCGAAACUGGUCCAGGUUCUUGACAGCACAGUUGUAUCCUGUUGUGAUUUUUGUAACUUCCAAACCAUAACAGCUAUGAGGGUGAUUCUUGUGGUCAGAGAAAGAUCUUGGAGUCUAGUUGUUUCCAGAAAAGUUUAGUAAACUUUGCACGACCAGAUCUUGAUAUACACUAUGAUUAUUGCAGACUGCUCCAGAAAUCAGCAAAAGACAGAAACAGGAUAUAACCAAACCCAACUAUUUAUGUCAUUACUCCGUAUGCCUUAGUUCUAUAAACUAAAUGAAAUUGUGAAGAACUUCACAAAAUCAUUACACUCAUUACAAAGAUCCAAAUCAAACAUAAACAUAAUAACAAGCAAUUAAGCAUUAAAGGUUCACAAGGCACACAAACUCAACUUUCGCUACUAGCGUUUUUAUUACACCAGGGGACACGGACACCUAUAUCUUAGACUUAGUGUGGUUAUCUUCACGAUGCAUCUGUUGCUUCUUUUGUGGACAAGAGCUUAUAUAAUGUCCUUCUUGUUGGCAGUGAUAACACCUUCUCUUAGCUGGUUCCUCUGUGAUGUUAUUUUCCACUGAAGUGUUGUUCGGUGUGUUAUCAACUUGCAUACUCUGAUGGUUUAUUUUUGCCUGGUUAGAUUUCUUUCUACAUUGCUUGAUCCUCCGAGGUUGAAACUCUCUAUAAGUAAUUGUCCACCCAUCUAUGCAUACCUCAUGAGCAGUGGGAUUAGCUUGGGGAAUUUGUUCAUCUCCAAGGUUUGAGUUUUCCUGACGAGAAUUUGAAGCUACAUGUGACAUCUUGGGAUUUGGGUGGUGAUCACUUCCCAAUCUCGGCUCUAGUGCUUUUGCCUUCCUCUUCUUAUCCUCAUUAGUCACACAGGUUGGUUUUGUCUUAACUUCCUUCUUAGAUGACAUAUUCCGAAGACAAGGAAGACCAUAAUGCUCACAACAGUGGCAUUGAUCCUGAUAUCCUGAUGUAUUACUCCCAACGCUUCCAUGAUUUCUCAUAUUUUUCCAAGCUUCUGCUACUUGUCUCCUCACGGGUCCUGAGAUACGUUGUUGAGAGUUCUUAUUCUGAGUUAUUCCUUCCACUACUUGUGUUUGCAUGGCUAGAAGCUUCUCCAUGUCGAAUGCUUUUACGGUUGGAAAAUCUGGGUGCUUUCGUUCCUUCUUGUCAAAGGUCUCCUCGUUAUGAUCCAUCUAAAGAGACAAAGAGAGAGGAUUUAGAAUAGAGACAAGAUUUUAUAAAAGAACUAGGCAAGAGGUAAGCAUAACUUUUAGCAACUAUCAAGGUCAAGGCGAAAAGCAAGAAGUAAGCAAAGAUAGAAGCAUGCCAAAACGUCCAGUUCUAACUAGGCUUGCGUCCUACAGUCAGCAUUGCUCUGAUACCACUUUGUAAUACCCGAUUUUAAGGACAAAACCAGAUAUACACUAUAUAUGAGUUUUAGAAGUCAAUUCUCAUAUAUAGCCACAAAUAAGGGGUAAUAUCAAAAGACAAUGCAUGAAUUAUAUAACGUACUUAGUAUAAAAGAGAUAACCUUAAGGAGCAAACAACGGAAGAUAACUCCAAACUUCGGGUAUUAACUUCACUCUACAGGAUCCAACUGACUGGUUGAUCACAAGCCUAACACAUCUCCUGAAGUGUGGGGGAAAUAGCAAGAGUGAGUCCAUGUCGAACUCCACAAGUAUAGCAACUAGAUUGUAUAGCUCCCACAAUCUCAUGAUCAAUGUGACAUAAAUAAUAUAAAGCAUUAAACAAUAAACAAUGAGCAUAUUUAACACACAGGAAUCAUCAUCGUCGCAGCAAGAAUCCCCAAGGCCGCUCCUGACCGUGAGCUCGGCUAGUAUACUAGUUUUUAACCCUCUGCAGAGGUUGCACAUCUUUACCCAUGAGUCAUGAUUUACCCUUUCGCCCGAGGUAGCUAGUCUCUUAACCCCCUUCCUAGGGAGGUCGGCAGGGAUCACUAUGAAGUCUUUCAAAGGUUCGUCUAACAAGUUAGGGCCGCUUGGUUUCAUUAGUCAGUCCGUGUGAUUCACCCGCAGGAAUCCACGGUCUGCUAUUCCCCAACUGCGCCACAACGGGUAACCACUAACGAGCUAGAAAAGUUACUCAUACUUAACUAAAGCCAGAGCCAUUAUAGCCCUCAUGGUUGCACUGUUGUCCCGGUUAUCACUUACAGAUAAAUCAUCAAGUGGCUAAAAAGUCAUUUUUAUCAUUUAUUACUUAACAUUAAUCUAGUCACACGAUCAUGGAUACAGAAAUAAAAUCCAAAUGCUAAACUUGCCUUAAUCCAAAUGCUCUUGUUGAUCCUGCUGGUCUUACUAGUUGCCAAGGCUCUGAUCUUGAUCACUGAAGUAUUGUUCACCGUCUAAACUCGAUCAUCGAUCACACAAACAAUCGGGAAUAACAUGCACGAAGCAAACAAGGCUAUAAUUAGAACAGUACACCAAUCAUAUGAAAACAGUAUGAAAAGUUUAUAAAAUGAUUCUACGCAUCGCUACGAUUUCAUAGACGUAAAGAUCACGAAAAUCGGAAUUAAAACGGUGAAGUUAUGAAUUUUCUAAGAUUUUAUGUAGAAAAUAAAUUAAUUAAUUAAAGUCACGAAAUUAAAAAGUUUCAAACUGAGUAAACAAUUUUACUAACAGGUAGAUCUUUCAAAGACGAAUCCAACGCAAUUUGAAUGGGUCAAAUCGGACUUAAAACGAAGAUUUUAUGAGCUAAAUAAAAGCAGUGGCAAACUUGUAAAUACUGAAAACGUAUUUUGGAAACAAGCCGGCAGACUUUACGUCUUCCAACUCAGAAAGCGUAUUUGGUGCUGUACGUUUUGGACCGCGGGUUUCAUAUAUAAAAACGUCAGGGGCUCUUUAAUAAAAUCACCCCGAAGGGGUAAGUUCUAAUCUGGCGCGUUGGUUUUAGAUCGAACGGCUCUGGAUCAAUCCCAGGAGGGAAGAGGGGAUGCUGGCCGGCUACAGAGCCUCCGGCGGUGGCGCCAUGGCCGGAGGGCCUUGCUCCUCGCCGGAGUUGGUUGGGAAAGUGUUCCGGUGCACCGUUUAACAAAUAAAGAGCAUGGGGACGAAGCGGAGCUUCAAGCGGACUCACCUAGCACAAAGACGAGGACGAGGAAGACCCGAGGGCAACGCGGUGCUUAGAAUGGCGGCCGGUCACGCUCCUGCGAGGUUCGGUCAGUGCGUGAGGUCGAAAGAACGCGGUACAGGGUAGGAGGAGGGGCUCAGCACCUUCGUCGACGUGUUGCGAAGCUCGGCCAAGGAUCAAACGCCUCUGGGCAGCUUUGAUUGAAGAAAAAACACGGCGGCGGCGAACUCCUACUCGGGAAGAUCCAAUCCACGACGUUUAAGGCGGCUAGGGCUUCGCAAACGUUGUGGAUGGAAAGGGAAGUGCGCGGCGAGACCACAAACCUUUAUAGGGGCUUGAUUUGGGAGUCCCUGCACCAAAUCGCGGAGAAAGCGGAUUCGAGCCCUGCUCGGGUAUGGAGUCCGUGGCGAACACGCUGGAGAAGAAGGAAAGGAAGGGGAAAGACGCUGACAUGUGGGGUCCGGCUGGCGGUGAGAGAAGAGGUG
RNAcentral lists this long non-coding RNA (6668 nucleotides) under Sorghum bicolor (sorghum). Its description in RNAcentral is "long non-coding RNA (SBIC_LNC013439)". Lineage: Eukaryota; Viridiplantae; Streptophyta; Magnoliopsida; Poales; Poaceae. The record is from RNAcentral.